UUACCAUGCACGAAAGUGUGAUAAGGUUACCCGGAGUGCUAGAAGUAUAACUUUUAGCUGUUAUAGAGUGUAGAUAACUCUAUGAGAAAGGAGAGGGCAAGGCUGGUGCCAGCCGCCGCGGUAAAACCAGCUCUUCAAGUGAUCGGGACUAUUAUUGGGCUUAAAGUGUCCGUAGCCGGUUUGGUAAGUCCCUGGUUAAAGCUGGAAGCUUAACUUUCAGUUCGCUAGGGAAACUACCUUACUAGAGGGCGGGAAAGGUGUGAGGUACUCCAGGGGUAGCGGUGAAAUGCGAUAAUCCUUGGGGGACCACCAGUGGCGAAGGCGUCAGACUGGAACGCGCCUGACGGUGAGGGACGAAAGCCAGGGGAGCGAACGGG
This 377-nucleotide ribosomal RNA is filed under the name uncultured archaeon. RNAcentral's name for it is "bacterial SSU rRNA". It matches the Rfam family "Archaeal small subunit ribosomal RNA", at positions 350 to 727 of the family's 1478-position model. The record is from RNAcentral.